GAUGAACGCUGGCGGCGUGCCUAAUACAUGCAAGUCGAGCGAACGGACGAGAAGCUUGCUUCUCUGAUGUUAGCGGCGGACGGGUGAGUAACACGUGGAUAACCGACCUAUAAGACUGGGAUAACUUCGGGAAACCGGAGCUAAUACCGGAUAAUAUUUUGAAACGCAUGGUUCAAAAGUGAAAGACGGUCUUGCUGUCACUUAUAGAUGGAUCCGCGCUGCAUUAGCUAGUUGGUAAGGUAACGGCUUACCAAGGCAACGAUGCAUAGCCGACCUGAGAGGGUGAUCGGCCACACUGGAACUGAGACACGGUCCAGACUCCUACGGGAGGCAGCAGUAGGGAAUCUUCCGCAAUGGGCGAAAGCCUGACGGAGCAACGCCGCGUGAGUGAUGAAGGUCUUCGGAUCGUAAAACUCUGUUAUUAGGGAAGAACAUAUGUGUAAGUAACUGUGCACAUCUUGACGGUACCUAAUCAGAAAGCCACGGCUAACUACGUG
This 497-nucleotide ribosomal RNA is filed under the name uncultured bacterium. RNAcentral describes it as "partial 16S ribosomal RNA". It matches the Rfam family "Bacterial small subunit ribosomal RNA", at positions 28 to 507 of the family's 1533-position model. The record is from RNAcentral.